Molecule: ribosomal RNA, 465 nt
Filed under: Vreelandella stevensii
Lineage: Bacteria; Pseudomonadati; Pseudomonadota; Gammaproteobacteria; Oceanospirillales; Halomonadaceae
Description: partial 16S ribosomal RNA
Rfam family: Bacterial small subunit ribosomal RNA
Source: RNAcentral
CCUACGGGUGGCAGCAGUGGGGAAUAUUGGACAAUGGGCGAAAGCCUGAUCCAGCCAUGCCGCGUGUGUGAAGAAGGCCUUCGGGUUGUAAAGCACUUUCAGUGGGGAAGAAAGCCUUGGGGCUAAUACCCUCGAGGAAGGACAUCACCCACAGAAGAAGCACCGGCUAACUCCGUGCCAGCAGCCGCGGUAAUACGGAGGGUGCGAGCGUUAAUCGGAAUUACUGGGCGUAAAGCGCGCGUAGGCGGUCUGAUAAGCCGGUUGGGAAAGCCCCGGGCUCAACCUGGGAACGGCAUCCGGAACUGUCAGGCUAGAGUGCAGGAGAGGAAGGUAGAAUUCCCGGUGUAGCGGUGAAAUGCGUAGAGAUCGGGAGGAAUACCAGUGGCGAAGGCGGCCUUCUGGACUGACACUGACGCUGAGGUGCGAAAGCGUGGGUAGCAAACAGGAUUAGAUACCCCAGUAGUC